GACGAACCGUGCGAACGUUAUUCGGAAUCACUGGGCUUAAAGCGCGUGUAGGCGGGUCGGCACGUCGGGAGCUGAAAUCCCCGGGCUCAACCUGGGAAUGGCAUUUGGGACUGCAAGGCUGGAGUGCGGCAGAGGAGACUGGAAUUCCUGGUGUAGCAGUGAAAUGCGUAGAUAUCAGGAGGAAUACCGAUGGCGAAGGCAGGUCUCUGGGCUGACACUGACGCUCAUGCACGAAAGCGUGGGGAGCAAACAGG
RNAcentral lists this ribosomal RNA (254 nucleotides) under uncultured bacterium. RNAcentral's name for it is "partial 16S ribosomal RNA". It matches the Rfam family "Bacterial small subunit ribosomal RNA", at positions 524 to 776 of the family's 1533-position model. The record is from RNAcentral.